Molecule: long non-coding RNA, 1514 nt
Organism: Neoarius graeffei (lesser salmon catfish)
Lineage: Eukaryota; Metazoa; Chordata; Actinopteri; Siluriformes; Ariidae
Exons: 2
Source: RefSeq, a predicted model, not a curated record
ACACACACAGACACACACACACACGCAUCCGUACGUUAAUUCAUGUUUUUAUCUACAGGAAGUACACAGCUAACGAGCUGAUAGAAGAUUUGCUGAAUACGGUAAAUAGUAAAUAUAUCCGUUCAUGCAUUUAUUAAUAUUACAAAAACAAAUAUUAAAACACAUAAAAUACAACAAUUAUUUGUUUGACAUUUUUAAAUAUAUAAUUUUAAAAUAUAGAAAUAGUACAAUAUGAUCAAAUCUCUCAACUUUAAAUUCUGACAACUUCAUUGAUUUUCUGAUGCAAUGAUGCACUGAUGGAGUUAAUGGAAUUCUAUACAGUGCUGAUGUAAGUCUACAGUGUUGAUGUAACUCCACCAUACUAAUCUAACUCUAUACAGUGUUGAUGUAACUCCACUGGACUGAUGUAAGUAGUGUUGAUGUAACUCCACACUAUACUGAUGUAACUACACAGAUUUGUGUCUACACUGUACUGAUGAAAGUCUACACUGUACUGAUGUAACUCUAUACAGGUGUUGAUUUAAGUCUACAGUGUUGAUGUAACUACACCAUACUAAUCUAACUCUAUACAGUGUUGAUGUAACUACACUGUACUGAUGUAACUCUAUACAGUGUUGGUGUGACUCUAGUGUUAGUACUUCCUGGUUCCUGAGUUGUUUGCGACAAGUCCUUUUUUCCUGCGAGCGUUGGCGUUAAUUACUAAUCUUUUUAAAAAAAAAUUUCUACAAAUACAUUUUCCAGUAUCAUCUUCAUUUUUAUUGUACCGUCACUUUCCUUUUUGUACUUUUUGCUUUCCUUUUUCCGUUUUUUUUUCUUUUUUCAGAAGAACGCCGAGACCGGAAGCUUUCUUCUUUUUUUGUCCCUCCUCCUGCGUAAAGACCACAAGCGGAGGCCAUCCACAUCGGAUUUGCUUUAAUAUCAACAGAUCUUUGAUUAAGGAAUCUGUCCCUCUGAGUUACAUGUCGGUUCUGAGAUCGAGGUGCUGAACCUCUUCUGCUCCUCAUACCUGCCUGAUCCAUCCUGGUGCCCUGUGUCUGGCUGGAGUCUCAUCACAUCGCUCCUGUGGAGGACGGCCCCAUGUGGACAGUUGAAAGUCACACCUGGAGGACGCUCUGGACUCUUACAGUAAUGCUUUUAUGGCUGAGGACUACAGUUGACUUGCUAACUUUAGGACUGCAGUUGUCAUGAACAGUUUUACACUCAAGUUUCCAUCAAUGAAGAGUUUAUAACAUCAACGAAACUGACUUCAUGUUAAAACUGUUAAUGUUAUAGUCAGGCUGUCUGCUGUUGCCCAAAUGAGGAUGGGUUCCCUUUUGAGUCUGGUUCCUCUCAAAGUUUCUUCCUCAUGUCGUCUGAGGGAGUUUUUCCUUGCCACCGUCGCCACAGGCUUCAUCAUUGGGGAUAGAUUAGGGAUAAAAUUAGCUCAUGUUUUAAGCCAUUCAAAUUCUGUAAAGCUGCUUUGCGACAAUGUCUAUUGUUAAAAGCGCGAUACAAAUAAACUUGACUUAAUGUAA